GUUCGCAAUGAUGAUUUUUAAAAUUCAAGCUCAACAGACCGGAUUACAAGCUUACUCUCUUUGGGAAGUUUGUAUGUCGAUAACCAGCACUGAGCGAUC
This is a non-coding RNA of Ricinus communis (castor bean), 99 nucleotides long. NCBI's taxonomy places the organism in Eukaryota, Viridiplantae, Streptophyta, Magnoliopsida, Malpighiales, Euphorbiaceae. The record is from Rfam.